CCGCGUCUCCAUAUAAAUGGCCCGGUGUAGACAAAACCGAAGACGCGGUGCAGUGACGGUGCAGAACAGACGUUUCGGCCUCAACCACCUCUACAGCAGCUAUGCCGCUCAAAAUACACAUCGUUUAUUGUGGCGCCUGAGGGUACCGAAGUCGGUUUCACCGCCUCAAGGAUGAACUUGAAACCGAGUUCCCUGGAGAGCUGGAGAUAACUGGUGAGGGGACCCCGACGCAGACUGGCUUCCUGGAGGUGCAGAUUGUGGGAGGGAAACUUCUCCACUCCAAGGCCAACGGCGAUGGGUUUGUAGACUCGGAUGAGAAGCUACAAAAGAUCUUCAGUGGAGUGGAGAAAGCCCUCAAAAAGAAGUAGCCAGAAUGUGAAGCAGAAGCAUGCUUUGCUUCUUAACAGAGCUUUAACAGGACUUGUGGUCGUUUCACCGUGAGCCGGCGUCGGAUGAAGGAGAUGGCGGAAAAGCUUCGGCCUAGUCGUCUCCCGAGGGCUCUCAGCGCCCUGCCACGAUGAACAAACCACUAAGGAGUUAAACUCUUGUCAAUCCUCUCCUCUGCAUACGCAUCUAUCACUUUGUUGAAACUGGGGAGGAGACAUUGGUGUUUUUUUUAUUGAUUAUAAAUUUCACUUGGGGGUAGGUAUGUUGUCAAUGGUAUCGUUUAAUUCACGCAGACUUUACUUCGAAAAUUGGUCUAAAAUAAACCCAUCUUGAUAGAAUGCAUUGAAUCAGACGCAAGACUUUGUUGUGUUUACUGUUCUAAAGUAUGUUUUUUAAUAGUUUUCAAUUGUUGGGCUUAACACUGAUAACUGUUCCUUCGAAAAAGCAAAUAACUGAAAACACGCGUUGCAGGGGUUUAACUUUGGCUAAUCAUUGUCCCAAACUAAGGAAGUUUUGUAGUAAUGGCAUGCAUACAUGUCCUAAUUGGUAUUGGCAGUAAACACAAUGCAUUCCGAGUCUUCAAUACAUAUAAACAUUUAGCAGUUUCAAAAACCAUUCGGGACUGGUCCAGUCUGAUAUUUGACAACACGUUUUAUUUAUUGAGCAUACAUUGCACCAUUUAUAUCAACGUUGAUUAGCCAAAACCAAUUUCAAGUAUGCUGCUGCAGUGGAGGAGUCGUCGUGCAUUGCAUUUCACACUGCUAAAAAAUAAUCCGACACUUGGUUCCCCAUAUUACAACGGAGCCAUUUAAAUGAGCAGUGUCGUCUACUGUAUAACAGUACAGCUACUGUACUCGGCAGGGAUUUUGUCUUAACACCUAUGUAUAGACACCUUACACGCAGCUUCUGAAUACACUCCACACCUCAAAUGUUUUCGAUAGGUACAUUUUGCAAAUAUUGCCCUGUGGAAUAUUUGAGAUAUGCAGUGCUCAAUAAAAUUACUUAAGUUAUGAUAAAUGAAA
This is a non-coding RNA of Petromyzon marinus (sea lamprey), 1409 nucleotides long. The record is from RefSeq and is a predicted model, not a curated record. NCBI's taxonomy places the organism in Eukaryota, Metazoa, Chordata, Hyperoartia, Petromyzontiformes, Petromyzontidae.